RNAcentral lists this long non-coding RNA (1041 nucleotides) under Bemisia tabaci. RNAcentral describes it as "lncRNA ENSSSA1NGG007807". The record is from RNAcentral. Lineage: Eukaryota; Metazoa; Arthropoda; Insecta; Hemiptera; Aleyrodidae.
AACUAAGGUUUUGUAAUAAAUUCUGACAUGUUUCCUCUUGCAGGUGUGCAUGCGGGACGUGUGCAUGUUUUAAGUAUCUAGCAUUACGGUCAAUGAAAAAGGAUGCUCAGCGUCUGAAGACAACCGACGGUGCCAUCGCAAAUUAUCAGAGUUAGAGCCCGCCGCAACCACACUGACAGUGGUUAUUGUAGUGCUGCAGGCCUCGACUGGUCAUCAACAACUCUAAAUACGGCCAGCGUUGCACAACUUCACAAUUCAGAUGAGGGCCUGAACGAAAUAGGCAAGAAAAGACUAGGCCGCUCAAGUUCAGAGCGAGAAGUUGGGCGAUCGUCCAGUUUACGAACCAAUACAAGUCCAGCUGGCAUCAGGUGUAGUCGAAGCAGUCAGCCCUCAAUUGAUAGUGAUAAAAACGGUGUUUCAAACGGUGUUGACUAUGGAGACACCCGCCCUGUCCAUCAUAUGCAGUCCUACAAAGAAUAUAAAGAAGCAUUAAAACAGCAGCGUGCCAUGGAUGUGUACAAAUCAAAAACAGAGUUGAAGUCGAAUGCGAGUCCAGCCUCACCAAAGAAACCAGGCGGGCCAACGCCAGUGUCAGUACCUGCUGUGCCAGUGGUGCCUGUCUCUCCUGUUCAACUAGGUGCAGACGUUGUUGCCAAAAAGCCCGUGCAAAAGGUCCAGCCUUCGAGAAUCACCAAAGCGGAGAGCCUGGAUUCGCCAGUCAUUGGGGACAAUGUGGCUUACGUGAAGCCAUCGCCGCCAAAAACUGGUGAAAUUUAAGCUACCCAGCAAACGUUGGUGUGGAUGGACCACCACGACCAAUGUGGAAUCGAAGCAACAUAUCCCCAGAAAAGCUAAGCUUUACAAUGCGGCGAGAGUUGGGGCCGUGCCAAAGAAGAGGCUCAGAUUAUCAGUCAACUUCGAUCGGUCUGUAUUUUGUAUCAAUUUUAGUAUUUCUCUUUCAACUGAGAUUUAGUAAAUCCUAGCCUUCCCAUUUUAAAAACCCUGUCUCCCCAAAAAUUUUCAAGCCUGUGAUCUUUGUCU